GUGAGUGAAGUGUAUUGGUCUCUGGUGGAGAAAGCAGAUAAGAAGUUCUCUAAGAUCAGAGACUUGCCCUAUUAUGAACGAAACAGGUAUGAUACAUAUUUUUACAAGGUAUUCAAGGUGUAUACACAAUUGUGGAAGUUUCAACAAGAGAAUCGACAGAAGCUCGUGGAAGCUGGGCUUAAGAGAUGGGAGAUUGGGGAAAUUGCAUCUCGAAUUGCUCAGCUUUAUUAUGGGCAAUAUAUGCGGACAAGUGAUGCAGGUUAUUUGUCAGAGUCAUAUAUAUUCUAUGAAGCCAUACUGAGUCGAGAAUAUUUCAAGGAUGGUUUGUUUCAAGAUCUAAAUCUUGCAAACAAACAGCUGAGGUUUUUCGCCAGGUUUUUAAUGGUGUGCCUGGUUUUGAACCGACGAGAAAUGGUGCAUCAGUUGGUUAAUCAACUCAAAAUGUUGGUUGAUGAAUGCAGGGGGACAUUCCAGGAAACUGACUUUAAAGAAUGGAAGCUGGUGAUUCAGGAAAUAAUUAGAUUUUUGAAAGCUGACACAGCUUUUAUGAAUAUCAGGCCUUUAAGAUAUAGUCUUGUACUGGACCCUCAUCCAGAUUCACUACCACGCAUUGCAACAAGGAGAAACUUAAGAUUACGAGAUGCAAUACUGAGUAGCUACCAUCAUAAUGAGGUUAAGUUUUCUGAGCUCACUUUAGACACCUUCAGGAUGCUUCAGUGCCUCGAGUGGGAGCCAAGUGGUUCAUUUUACCAGUCAAAUUCUACUAAAAUUGGUCAGAAUGGGGGUCCAGGGCCUAGUCGCAUUAACUACUCCCAGGAUAUAACUGAUCCUACUUUACCUGCAAAUUCACGGAAAGCUGUCUUGUAUCGUCCUUCUGUGACACAUUUUUUAGCCGUACUGGGUAUGAUUUGUGAGGAGCUACCUGCUGAUGGAGUUCUUCUAAUAUAUUUGUCAGCGUCAGGAAGGGUUGGACAAACUAUUUCAUCUCCCUCUGCUGCUGGAACUUCUCUCAUCACUGCUGAGACUGCUGUGAGGAACUUUCAAUCUCAUACCAUCUACUCGGACGCAACAUCCACAUCUCCAUUUAGUUCACCUAGUAAUUCUUCAAAUCCAUCA
This 1116-nucleotide unclassified non-coding RNA is filed under the name Hevea brasiliensis (rubber tree). Lineage: Eukaryota; Viridiplantae; Streptophyta; Magnoliopsida; Malpighiales; Euphorbiaceae. The record is from RNAcentral.